Molecule: ribosomal RNA, 492 nt
Filed under: uncultured bacterium
Lineage: Bacteria
Description: partial 16S ribosomal RNA
Rfam family: Bacterial small subunit ribosomal RNA
Source: RNAcentral
AGUGAACGCUGGCGGUAGGCCUAACACAUGCAAGUCGAACGGCAGCACAGUAAGAGCUUGCUCUUACGGGUGGCGAGUGGCGGACGGGUGAGGAAUACAUCGGAAUCUACUUUUUCGUGGGGGAUAACGCAGGGAAACUUACGCUAAUACCGCAUACGACCUACGGGUGAAAGCAGGGGAUCUUCGGACCUUGCGCGAUUGAAUGAGCCGAUGUCGGAUUAGCUAGUUGGCGGGGUAAAGGCCCACCAAGGCGACGAUCCGUAGCUGGUCUGAGAGGAUGAUCAGCCACACUGGAACUGAGACACGGUCCAGACUCCUACGGGAGGCAGCAGUGGGGAAUACUGGACAAUGGGCGCAAGCCUGAUCCAGCCAUACCGCGUGGGUGAAGAAGGCCUUCGGGUUGUAAAGCCCUUUUGUUGGGAAAGAAAAGCAGCAGGUUAAUACCCCGCUGUUCUGACGGUACCCAAAGAAUAAGCACCGGCUAACUUCGUG